Molecule: ribosomal RNA, 539 nt
Filed under: uncultured bacterium
Lineage: Bacteria
Description: bacterial SSU rRNA
Rfam family: Bacterial small subunit ribosomal RNA
Source: RNAcentral
AGAGUUUGAUCCUGGCUCAGGACGAACGCUGGCGGCGUGCCUAAUACAUGCAAGUCGAGCGGACCUGUUUUGAAGCUUGCUUCGAAACAGGUUAGCGGCGGACGGGUGAGUAACACGUGGGCAACCUGCCCGUAAGACCGGGAUAACUUGCGGAAACGUGAGCUAAUACCGGAUAGUUUUCCUUCCUGCAUGGGAAGGAAAGGAAAGGUGGCGCAAGCUACCACUUACGGAUGGGCCCGCGGCGCAUUAGCUAGUUGGUGGGGUAACGGCCUACCAAGGCGACGAUGCGUAGCCGACCUGAGAGGGUGAUCGGCCACACUGGGACUGAGACACGGCCCAGACUCCUACGGGAGGCAGCAGUAGGGAAUCUUCCGCAAUGGACGAAAGUCUGACGGAGCAACGCCGCGUGAGCGAAGAAGGCCUUCGGGUCGUAAAGCUCUGUUGUCAGGGAAGAACAAGUACCGGAGUAACUGCCGGUACCUUGACGGUACCUGACGAGAAAGCCACGGCUAACUACGUGCCAGCCGCCGCGGUAAUUC